GACGAACGCUGGCGGCGUGCUUAACACAUGCAAGUCGAACGGGCCUGUCUUCUUUUUUGGGGGUGGGUUGAGUGGCGAACGGGUGAGUAUCACGUGAGUAACCUGCCCUUCGGUCCUGGAUAACCGCUUGAGAGGGCGGCUAAUACGGGGUGGUCCGGUUGGUCCGCAUGGGCUGGUCGGGAUAGAUUCACUGUUUUUGGUGUUUCGGCGGGGGAUGGGCUCGCGGCCUAUCAGCUUGUUGGUGGGGUGAUGGCCUACCAAGGCGGUGACGGGUAGCCGGCCUGAGAGGGUGGGCGGCCACACUGGGACUGAGAUACGGCCCAGACUCCUGCGGGAGGCAGCAGUGGGGGGUAUUGCACAAUGGGCGGAAGCCUGAUGCAGCGACGUCGCGUGAGGGAUGGAGGCCUUCGGGUUGUGAACCUCUGUUUCCGGUGGUGAAGGCCCUGUCCGUGUGGUGGGGUUGACGGUAGCCGGGGAUGAAGCGCCGGCUAACUACGUG
RNAcentral lists this ribosomal RNA (499 nucleotides) under uncultured bacterium. RNAcentral's name for it is "partial 16S ribosomal RNA". It matches the Rfam family "Bacterial small subunit ribosomal RNA", at positions 28 to 507 of the family's 1533-position model. The record is from RNAcentral.